GAGGAACCAUGAAUUUUAGUAAGUUAAUAACUCCUAUUAAUUUAUUUAUGUGGUGGCACAAAAUCGGAAGCCCCGACUGUUUACUAAAAACACAACUAUCUGCAAUUAUGAAAAUAAUAGUAUAGGUAGUGAGAUUUGCCCAAUGCCAUAUCAAUAAGUAAUAAUAAUGGGUAACUGUUUCUUUACAAAAAAUUGGUUAAUAGCGGUCUUAACUAUGAGGAUCCUAAGGUAGCAAAAUAAAUUGGCCAUUAAAUGUGGUCCAGUAUCAAUAAUUUAACGAUGGCUUCACUGUCUCUACAACUUGCUCAGUGAAAUUGAAUUACCCGUGCAGAUGCGGGUUACCUCAAAGAGGACGGGAAGACCCUAUGCAGCUUCUA
RNAcentral lists this ribosomal RNA (377 nucleotides) under Xanthoconium affine. RNAcentral describes it as "LSU rRNA". It matches the Rfam family "Bacterial large subunit ribosomal RNA", at positions 1707 to 2104 of the family's 2925-position model. The record is from RNAcentral. Lineage: Eukaryota; Fungi; Basidiomycota; Agaricomycetes; Boletales; Boletaceae.